RNAcentral lists this ribosomal RNA (468 nucleotides) under uncultured bacterium. RNAcentral's name for it is "partial 16S ribosomal RNA". It matches the Rfam family "Bacterial small subunit ribosomal RNA", at positions 28 to 507 of the family's 1533-position model. The record is from RNAcentral.
GACGAACGCUGGCGGCGUGCUUAACACAUGCAAGUCGAACGGUAAGGCCCUGCUUUUGUGGGGUGCUCGAGUGGCGAAAGGGUGAGUAACACGUGAGUGACCUGCCCUUGACUUUGGGAUAACUUCAGGAAACAGGAGCGAUUAUCGGAUAGGAGCACCUUCUGCAUGGUGGGGGUGGUAAAGUUUCGGCGGUUGAGGAUGGACACGCGGUCUAUCAGCGUGUUGGUGGGGUGGUGGCUUACCAGGGCAUUGACGGGUAGCCGGCCUGCGAAGGUGACCGGCCACAUUGGGACUGAGAUACGGCCAAGACUGAUACGGGAGGCAGCAGUGGGAAUUAGUGCACAAUGGGCGGAGGCCGGAUGCAGCAACUCCGCGUGCGGGAUCACUGCCUUCAGGUUGUAAACCUCUUUCGCCUGUGACGCAGAGUAAGUGACGGUAAUGAGUAAAGAAGCACCGGCUAACUACGUG